This is a long non-coding RNA of Onychostoma macrolepis, 863 nucleotides long. RefSeq lists it as uncharacterized. The transcript is spliced from 4 exons. NCBI's taxonomy places the organism in Eukaryota, Metazoa, Chordata, Actinopteri, Cypriniformes, Cyprinidae. The record is from RefSeq and is a predicted model, not a curated record.
UCGAGGGAAUCGAGCUGUUAGAAAUCCCAGAAGACGCUGCGGGCGGUCAGUGUACGGAAGCCUGUAAGAUUUAAACUCGCUCUUGCAAAUACUUGACGGCUCUUGAAAGUAAACAUUUAUCGUUUUGUUUUGCUUAAUUUUAAUAAAGUGGUAAGACCCGGAGAAAGUCUGCAGUAUUUUUAUUGGCAUAUUAAAAUGAAUCUUAACAUAGUCAUAUAACGCUGUAAAAUAAAACGAUAUACAAUUAUAUUAAAAUAAUAUCUAUAAUAGUAUGAAAUGUUUUAAUAAUUAUGACAUUUGUGUGUAAUGUUAUGUUAUGUCAUAUUUAUUGUUCAUUGGCCGCUGCUUAUGCUGAGACUGCGGUCAGUAAAGCAAGAACGCUGCACGUCUCAAUUCUCACAAGGAUGCGUUCUGUGUUCUCACGUCCUUCCGAGUUCGUUCUUCAAAGGAAGCCUUGCAAGACCGGUCUCCACGAGAACACAAGUCCGUUCUCUGCGUUCUUGGAAUUGAGAAACAGCCUAAGUUUACCUGUCGGAGAGCAGCGGGCAAACAACAAACGAUAAAGGACAUUCCUGCUUGGUCUUGUGUCAAAGCUGUGCAGAAUUGAAGGAAGGAACCUCAAAGACAGUGCCAGAAGGAUGCUGAACAGGGUUUUAAAAAAUUCCCUCAUGUCCUGAGGUCAACAUGAAGGAGGGUGGUCCGCUGCAGAAAGAGGCAUUUGAAAAGACUGCACUGUUCUCGGUCAUUAGAGAUGCUGUGAUGACCAACUUCCCGGCAGCAACAGAGUUGGACUUGAGGAAUGCAGUUGGGAAGCAUUUUAAACAAGAAAUAAAACCAAUAAUAAUAAUUUCCUUUAAGUUCAC